Molecule: ribosomal RNA, 462 nt
Filed under: uncultured bacterium
Lineage: Bacteria
Description: bacterial SSU rRNA
Rfam family: Bacterial small subunit ribosomal RNA
Source: RNAcentral
ACGGGGAGGCAGCAGUGGGGAAUAUUGCACAAUGGGGGAAACCCUGAUGCAGCCAUGCCGCGUGUGUGAAGAAGGCCUUCGGGUUGUAAAGCACUUUCAGUAGGGAGGAAGGUAGUGUAGUUAACACCUGCAUUAUUUGACGUUACCUACAGAAGAAGCACCGGCUAACUCCGUGCCAGCAGCCGCGGUAAUACGGAGGGUGCGAGCGUUAAUCGGAAUUACUGGGCGUAAAGCGCAUGCAGGCGGCCUGUUAAGUCAGAUGUGAAAGCCCGGGGCUUAACCUCGGAAUUGCAUUUGAAACUGGCAGGCUAGAGUCUUGUAGAGGGGGGUAGGAAUUUCAGGUGUAGCGGUGAAAUGCGUAGAGAUCUGAAGGAAUACCAGUGGCGAAGGCGGCCCCCUGGACAAAGACUGACGCUCAGAUGCGAAAGCGUGGGGAGCAAACAGGAUUAGAUACCCUGGUAG